This 328-nucleotide unclassified non-coding RNA is filed under the name soil metagenome. RNAcentral's name for it is "partial contains 5.8S ribosomal RNA, internal transcribed spacer 2, and large subunit ribosomal RNA". The stretch from base 1 to 120 matches the Rfam family "5.8S ribosomal RNA", at positions 35 to 154 of the family's 154-position model. The record is from RNAcentral.
GAUGAAGAACGUAGCGAAAUGCGAUAAGUAAUGUGAAUUGCAGAAUUCAGUGAAUCAUCGAAUCUUUGAACGCACAUUGCGCCCGCCAGUAUUCUGGCAGGCAUGCCUGUUCGAGCGUCAUUUCAACCAUCAAGCCCCAGGCUUGUGUUGGGGGCCUGCGGCUGCCGCAGCCCCCUAAAAGCAGUGGCGGGCUCGCUGUCAUUCCGAGCGCAGUAGUUACAUCUCGCUCUGGGUGUGGCGGCGGGCACCUGCCGUAAAACACUUCUAAGGUUGACCUCGGAUCAGGUAGGAAUACCCGCUGAACUUAAGCAUAUCAAUAAGCGGAGGA